RNAcentral lists this ribosomal RNA (303 nucleotides) under uncultured bacterium. Its description in RNAcentral is "partial 16S ribosomal RNA". It matches the Rfam family "Bacterial small subunit ribosomal RNA", at positions 507 to 809 of the family's 1533-position model. The record is from RNAcentral.
AGCAGUAGCCGCGGGAAUACAGAGGGUGCGAGCGUUAAUCGGAUUUACUGGGCGUAAAGCGUGCGUAGGCGGCUUUUUAAGUCGGAUGUGAAAUCCCUGAGCUUAACUUAGGAAUUGCAUUCGAUACUGGGAAGCUAGAGUAUGGGAGAGGAUGGUAGAAUUCCAGGUGUAGCGGUGAAAUGCGUAGAGAUCUGGAGGAAUACCGAUGGCGAAGGCAGCCAUCUGGCCUAAUACUGACGCUGAGGUACGAAAGCAUGGGGAGCAAACAGGAUUAGAUACCCGGGUAGUCCCUGUCUCUUAUAA